GAAAUUCUUCUUGAGGCAUUGUUUC
This 25-nucleotide unclassified non-coding RNA is filed under the name Dictyostelium discoideum. Lineage: Eukaryota; Evosea; Eumycetozoa; Dictyosteliales; Dictyosteliaceae. The record is from RNAcentral.